Molecule: ribosomal RNA, 468 nt
Filed under: uncultured Flavobacteriaceae bacterium
Lineage: Bacteria; Pseudomonadati; Bacteroidota; Flavobacteriia; Flavobacteriales; Flavobacteriaceae
Description: bacterial SSU rRNA
Rfam family: Bacterial small subunit ribosomal RNA
Source: RNAcentral
CCGCGUGCAGGAAGACGGCCCUAUGGGUUGUAAACUGCUUUUAUACAGGAAGAAACACCUCUACGUGUAGAGGCUUGACGGUACUGUAAGAAUAAGGAUCGGCUAACUCCGUGCCAGCAGCCGCGGUAAUACGGAGGAUCCAAGCGUUAUCCGGAAUCAUUGGGUUUAAAGGGUCCGUAGGUGGAUAAUUAAGUCAGGGGUGAAAGUCUGCAGCUCAACUGUAGAAUUGCCCUUGAUACUGGUUGUCUUGAGUCAUUAUGAAGUAGUUAGAAUAUGUAGUGUAGCGGUGAAAUGCAUAGAUAUUACAUAGAAUACCAAUUGCGAAGGCAGAUUACUAAUAAUGUACUGACACUGAUGGACGAAAGCGUGGGGAGCGAACAGGAUUAGAUACCCUGGUAGUCCACGCCGUAAACGAUGGAUACUAGCUGUUCGGAUUUAUCUGAGUGGCUAAGCGAAAGUGAUAAGUAU